This is a long non-coding RNA of Equus caballus (horse), 1780 nucleotides long. The record is from Ensembl. Lineage: Eukaryota; Metazoa; Chordata; Mammalia; Perissodactyla; Equidae.
CUGGACUCUGGGAAGGGGACGCCACGCUCCUUCUGCGCAUGUGCAGCCGUAGCCUCCUCGUUUGUCUUCUCAGGACUCCAGAGAACCGUUGGGGAACUUUGGGGUGUGCUCGGAAAAUGCAGGGUGCGCACCUAGGGCGAGGGACUAGCUGGGAAGGGUGUGCCUGUGCUUGGGGAUGGGAGCAGGAAGUGUCUGGGACCUCGUCGCCCCCCGCGGCGGUGUAUAAACCCGGGCGGGCCGUCAGAGUGGUUAAGGCCGAUGGGGGAGACCCCGGCCCUCGGGAUCCCGGGGCGCAGGUGUUCGGGGCGGUCCGGGAUGCCCGAGGAUCGUGUGACCAGCCCGCCUGCAGCCCGACCGGAGAGAAGCCCGUGUCGGCGGCGGUGGGUGCGGGAGGGAGGAGUGCGUUUAUCAGGCGGACGGUGACCCGUGGGUCUGCGGUGGAGCCCGAGCUCUGGAGCACUACAGGCCCGGUCAGUGCCAGCUCUGUCACCUGUAAGCAGGGGCGACAGAAGGAACCUGGGCGAGAGUCAGGGUUCUCAUCUAUAAAUAUUAAUAAUGAUUGUUUCACGGCGGCGUUUGGAAACAUAGAUCACUAUUUUAGACAAGUGCCAGAGCUUCAGAGCAGAGACAAGAGCCCAGAAAGGAGCAGAUGCUAGAUUUGCAAGAUCAGAAGCAGGUCUUGAUCCUCCUGCCCAGAAUGGGCCAGACUUGAUGAUGAUGCCACCUUCAGGAGCCACCACACUGUGUGACAGUGGGGCAUUUGGGCCGUCCCUGGGAAGUACAGCUGAACCACAGUCCUCUGUACUCGCCCAGGAGCCACAGAAAGUGAACAUCCCUCAGAUUCCACCUGCCACCACUGGAGGAGGUUCAGGAGCUGUGUAUUCUGAGCCUGCUGUGAUCCCUGGUGUCUGUGCUUGUCCUUUGGAAUCUAUGCUGACAGGACCCAUCUGCGAUUGCCUGCUUGUAGCUGCUGCUUUGCUAAUGUAUGCACGGGCACUCUAGACGGGGUCCCUUGCUCUGGCUGACUGGCUGAGCUUGUGAGCCCAGCAGGGGGAGGGGCACUUCUUUUGCAUGUGCCAUCCCGUGGGUGUUCUCUCUUUGCCCUUGCUGUCUGUCCUCCUGGCGUGCUGGCUUCAUGAAGACAACCCCACAAUAGCUUAGCCUCCUCUGUGGAGCUUUCCUAUGGGAUGUGAGGGAACUUGGAGAGCAAAGGCAUUCCCACAGAGUCUCCCCCCAGGCCCCUCUUUUCUCAGAGCUGUGCAUGGUCCUGUGCCCUAGGUCAUUGCUGGGGAGGGAGAGGAGAUCCCCUUACUUCCUCCUUCUUCCUCCUGGGGGGUCCAGCACCUCCACCUUCAGACAUAUGGCUGCAUGGGUCUCUCAGAUGUCUUUUGUGUUGUGUGCCUGUCCUCUUUUGGUUUAUGAAUGUCCUUUUCAUUGUUUCUUAGGGAGGAGAGUCUAAGGGAAGAUCUCACUCCGCCGUGAUGCUGAUGUCAUGCCUGGUCAUUCUAUUUUUAAGUUUUUGAGGAAUCUCUGUACUGUUUUCCACAGUGGCUGCACCAAUUUACAUUCCCACCAGCAGUGUAUGAGGGCUCCCUUUUCUCCCAUCCUCUCCAACACUUCUGUUUUCUUUGUAAAGAUUGUCACCUGAGCUAACAUCUGUUGUCUAUCUUUUUUUCCUUCUUGUUCUCCCAAAACCCUCCCAGUACAUAGUUGUAUAUUGUAGUUAUAUGUCCUUCUGGCUGUGCUGUGUGGGAUGCCACCUCAGCAUGGCUUGAUGAGU